This 82-nucleotide transfer RNA is filed under the name Hydra vulgaris (swiftwater hydra). It matches the Rfam family "tRNA". From Rfam's summary of the family: Transfer RNA (tRNA) molecules are approximately 80 nucleotides in length. Their secondary structure includes four short double-helical elements and three loops (D, anti-codon, and T loops). Further hydrogen bonds mediate the characteristic L-shaped molecular structure. tRNAs have two regions of fundamental functional importance: the anti-codon, which is responsible for specific mRNA codon recognition, and the 3' end, to which the tRNAs corresponding amino acid is attached (by aminoacyl-tRNA synthetases). tRNAs cope with the degeneracy of the genetic code in two manners: having more than one tRNA (with a specific anti-codon) for a particular amino acid; and 'wobble' base-pairing, i.e. permitting non-standard base-pairing at the 3rd anti-codon position. The record is from Rfam by way of RNAcentral. Lineage: Eukaryota; Metazoa; Cnidaria; Hydrozoa; Anthoathecata; Hydridae.
GCUGUGAUGGCCGAGUGGUUAAGGCGUUUGACUAGAAAUCAAAUGGGAUUUUCCCGCGUAGGUUCAAAUCCUACUCACAGCG